This 877-nucleotide ribosomal RNA is filed under the name uncultured archaeon. RNAcentral describes it as "bacterial SSU rRNA". It matches the Rfam family "Archaeal small subunit ribosomal RNA", at positions 21 to 903 of the family's 1478-position model. The record is from RNAcentral.
GGUUACUGCUAUCGGGGUCCGACUAAGCCAUGCGAGUUGAGAGGGGUAAGCCCUCGGCAUACUGCUCAGUAACACGCGGAUAACCUGCCCUUGGGUCCGGGAUAACCCCGGGAAACUGGGACUAAUACCGGAUAGAUCAGAGAAACUGGAAUGUUCUCUGGUUCAAAACUCCGGUGCCCAAGGAUGGGUCUGCGGCCUAUCAGGUAGUAGUGGGUGUAACGUACCUACUAGCCAGCGACGGGUAAGGGUUGUGAGAGCAAGAUCCCUGAGAUGGAUUCUGAGACAUGAAUCCAGGCCCUACGGGGUGCAGCAGGCGCGAAAACUUUACACUGCGGGAAACCGCGAUAAGGGGACCCCGAGUGCCAGCACCUAGUGCUGGCUGUCCUACUGUCUAAAUAACAGUGGUUAGCAAGGGCCGGGCAAGACCGGUGCCAGCCGCCGCGGUAACACCGGCGGCCCGAGUGGUAACCGUUUUUAUUGGGUUUAAAGGGUCCGUAGCCGGCUUACUAAGUCUCUUGGGGAAUCUGGCGGCUCAAUCGUCAGGCGGCCAAGAGAUACUGGUAGGCUUGGGACCGGGAGAGGUGGGAGGUACUCCAGGGGUAGGGGUGAAAUCUCGUAAUCCUUGGGGGACCACCGAUGGCGAAGGCAUCCCACCAGAACGGGUCCGACGGUGAGGGACGAAAGCUGGGGGCACGAACCGGAUUAGAUACCCGGGUAGUCCCAGCUGUAAACGAUGCUCGCUAGGUGUCAGGUGCGGUGCGACCGCAUCUGGUGCCGCAGUGAAAACUUGAAGCGAGUCACCUGGGAAGUACGGUCGCAAGGCUGAAACUUAAAGGAAUUGGCGGGGGAGCACUACAACGGGUGGAGCCUGCGGUUC